RNAcentral lists this ribosomal RNA (253 nucleotides) under uncultured bacterium. Its description in RNAcentral is "partial 16S ribosomal RNA". It matches the Rfam family "Bacterial small subunit ribosomal RNA", at positions 524 to 776 of the family's 1533-position model. The record is from RNAcentral.
UACAGAGGUCUCGAGCGUUAGGCGGAAUCACUGGGCUUAAAGCGUGUGUAGGUGGAUGCCUAAGUACCUUGUGAAAUCCCACGGCCUAACCGUGGAACUGCUUGGUAUACUGGGUGUCUUGAGUCACUCAGGGGCGAGCGGAACAAAUGGUGGAGCGGUGAAAUGCGUAGAUAUCAUUUGGAACGCCAAUGGUGAAAACAGCUCGCUGGGGGUGCACUGACACUGAGACACGAAAGCCAGGGGAGCGAACGGG